Molecule: ribosomal RNA, 484 nt
Filed under: uncultured bacterium
Lineage: Bacteria
Description: partial 16S ribosomal RNA
Rfam family: Bacterial small subunit ribosomal RNA
Source: RNAcentral
GAUGAACGCUAGCGGCAGGCCUAAUACAUGCAAGCCAAGGGCUGUUGGGGUAACAAUACCUCCAAAAACCGGGGGACGGGUGGGUAACGCGGAAGGAAACCAACCUUUACAAGGGGAUAGCCCCCGGGAAAGGGGAUUAAUACCCCAUAAGAAUGCUUAAAAGCAUCUUUAAGCAAUUAAAGCCGGAAGGCGGUAUAGGAUGGGCGUGCGUCCGAUUAGCUAGUUGGUGAGGUAACGGCUCACCAAGGCGAUGAUCGGUAGGGGUUCUGAGAGGAAGAUCCCCCACACGGGCACUGAGACACGGGCCCGACUCCUACGGGAGGCAGCAGUAAGGAAUAUUGGACAAGGGGUGAAAGCCUGAUCCAGCCAUGCCGCGUGCAGGAAGAAGGCCCUAUGGGUUGUAAACUGCUUUUGAGAGGGAGAAAUAAGGGCGAUGCGUCGCUCGAUGAUAGUACUUCUCGAAUAAGCAUCGGCUAACUUCGUG